Electrophorus electricus (electric eel) is the source of this 217-nucleotide long non-coding RNA. RefSeq lists it as uncharacterized. NCBI's taxonomy places the organism in Eukaryota, Metazoa, Chordata, Actinopteri, Gymnotiformes, Gymnotidae. The record is from RefSeq and is a predicted model, not a curated record.
CUCUGAUACGAUAAACACGUGCAUUAGGGACACAGUUCAUUUACCCCCCACCCCCUCCGCGGGAUUUACGGCUGUAAGGUCCAGAUGGAUACAGAAUGACAGCACUCUACAAUCCAGGACCCGAUGUAAUUCAAUCAAAAUUAGCAAGUGCCUUUCAGAUUGAUGAAAUCUACAGUGUACCAGAUGCGGGAACGGUGGUUUGAGGGACGCUCUACAG